Molecule: long non-coding RNA, 998 nt
Organism: Zingiber officinale
Lineage: Eukaryota; Viridiplantae; Streptophyta; Magnoliopsida; Zingiberales; Zingiberaceae
Exons: 3
Source: RefSeq, a predicted model, not a curated record
AAGUCCGCCGAAAGCAUUACGUUUUUCUCCUUUGGGUUUUCUCACCGACGCCGAUGCCCACGCCGAGAAAAGCAUCCUUCUCCAUCAUCGACGCCGACGCCGCACCUUCUUCACCAUUGCCUCACCACCAACGCUCGACGGCUCCAUGUCCACCCUCACCAUCUUCGGCCGGGCUUCAUCUGGCCUAUUUUUCCCAAACCUCAUCUCCGAUCAGUAGGACGCCACCAUCAUCUUCAUCACCGGCACACUGAGGAAAGGGACUUCCCUCCCUCCGGUCAUUGCCAAUCGCCUCACCCAUGUAAGGGGCUUCCCUACUUAAUCUUCUUCUCUCCAUCUUCUUCGGCAAGCAUCAGCUGCAAUCCAUCUGCUCCAUCCACCGGAAAGGAGUGGGGCUUCCCUUCCUCAACCGGGGGCCUCUCCAUCGAUCAGCAACUUUCCAUUAUCCAUUUGGGCAACUAAUAUUAGAUUUGAAGCUCCAAUAGAUCUUCCCACAAUUCCUCUUUCAUCAGCCAUCCACAGUUCUUCCACGACUUCUCCGAUAGGUCACCUCCAAUCCGGAUAGCAAGCAGUGCAGCCUUCAUCUUGAUCAAAUCUGGAUAGACUGAGCCUUGGGGUUUCCCUUUGGUGGAAAGCAGCCUUCAUCCAAGAUCUAGUUCCAAUAGACCUUCCAAGAUCCAAGUCACAGACCUACAUGUAGUGUGGGCAAAGAAGGCAGUAAAUUGUCACAAUAUAUUGUUGCUCAGUUGGGAGCAUUGAACAGAGAUAGUAUCUGCUUCAUCUCAUACAACACUAGGUACCAUUGGAUCCUAAUUAUAAUUAAUGAAGAUAAGAAUAUGAUAUAUUUAUUAGUCUCCUUGAGUAACAGGAAUCAAUACCAUGCUCGGAAAUCUAUUGUGACCAAGUAGGUAGUAGAUUAUGCUGAUUGUGAAUGCAUUCAAUUCAUUAGAGGUUGAAAAAUUAAUUUUAUAUUUUUUACAAUGUAGUGGGGUCAAGAUAUA